GCUAGAGGUUCUUCUGCCCAGGACAGUUCUAGUUAAGGAAAGACUGAUGAACUGGUCUUAGUCCUUUCUGUUUUUGCGUUUUUGUUUGCUUUUGUUUUCCUAUUCCCUUCUAAAUCUGGUUAAUGUGGGAAGU
Molecule: non-coding RNA, 133 nt
Filed under: Pongo abelii (Sumatran orangutan)
Lineage: Eukaryota; Metazoa; Chordata; Mammalia; Primates; Hominidae
Source: RNAcentral